CGGGGAGUACCUCAGUCUGGUAGAGGCAAACCUUUGGGUGGUUUGUGUCGCGGGUUCGAAUCCCGCCUCCCCGACCC
Molecule: transfer RNA, 77 nt
Filed under: Planctomycetota bacterium
Lineage: Bacteria; Pseudomonadati; Planctomycetota
Description: Planctomycetes bacterium tRNA-Pro
Rfam family: tRNA
About the family: Transfer RNA (tRNA) molecules are approximately 80 nucleotides in length.
Source: RNAcentral